RNAcentral lists this ribosomal RNA (627 nucleotides) under Colletotrichum trifolii. Its description in RNAcentral is "eukaryotic LSU rRNA". It matches the Rfam family "Eukaryotic large subunit ribosomal RNA", at positions 1 to 648 of the family's 3401-position model. The record is from RNAcentral. Lineage: Eukaryota; Fungi; Ascomycota; Sordariomycetes; Glomerellales; Glomerellaceae.
GUUGACCUCGGAUCAGGUAGGAAUACCCGCUGAACUUAAGCAUAUCAAUAAGCGGAGGAAAAGAAACCAACAGGGAUUGCCCCAGUAACGGCGAGUGAAGCGGCAACAGCUCAAAUUUGAAAUCUGGCCCCAGGCCCGAGUUGUAAUUUGCAGAGGAUGCUUUUGGCGCGGUGCCUUCCGAGUUCCCUGGAACGGGACGCCAUAGAGGGUGAGAGCCCCCGUACGGUUGGACACCAAGCCUUUGUAAAGCUCCUUCGACGAGUCGAGUAGUUUGGGAAUGCUGCUCAAAAUGGGAGGUAUAUUUCUUCUAAAGCUAAAUAUAGGCCAGAGACCGAUAGCGCACAAGUAGAGUGAUCGAAAGAUGAAAAGCACUUUGAAAAGAGGGUUAAACAGCACGUGAAAUUGUUAAAAGGGAAGCGCUUGUGACCAGACUUGCGUCCGGUGAAUCACCCAGCUCUCGCGGCUGGGGCACUUCGCCGGCACAGGCCAGCAUCAGCUUGCCGUCGGGGACAAAAGCUUCAGGAACGUAGCUCUCUUCGGGGAGUGUUAUAGCCUGUUGCAUAAUACCCUUUCGGCGGGCUGAGGUACGCGCUCCGCAAGGAUGCUGGCGUAAUGGUCAUCAGCGAC